This 891-nucleotide long non-coding RNA is filed under the name Phasianus colchicus (ring-necked pheasant). RNAcentral's name for it is "lncRNA (ENSPCLG00000009391.1)". The record is from RNAcentral. Lineage: Eukaryota; Metazoa; Chordata; Aves; Galliformes; Phasianidae.
ACAAAGUUCUACAGGAAAUAAUUCUCCGACUGAGUUUUCCUUGAGGUGCACAACUCUUUUGAGAUUCCUUUUCUUUCCAGCAUUUGUUUUACUCCUGUUGCUUAUGCUGAACCAGUCGUCAGCUCAACUCAGAAGCAGCACGAUCAGCACAUGUGAGGAACAGGCAAACAGCUGCAGGAAGGCCUUCCUCAGGUGGCUUAAUGUGGGCCUGAUGUGUUGUAGGUCUGUGGGGUCGAGGCUGCAGUACCCAUAUUGGUGUGGCUGUGUCAGGCUUUCUUAUCCAUUUGGUACUUCAACUGUUCUUCUGUGUAUUGCAUUAGCAUCACUGCCAACUGCUCCCAGCUUCCAUUCUUGUUGUUGCACUGCUCUUUCAACUGUGCUGUCCAGCCUGUUGGGGCAAUUGUGGGCCGAACAGGGCUGGGAAUGGAUCCAUCUACAAAGAAACACUUCUUUUGCUGGUUUGUUUUACAGCUGGAUCAGCUCUCUGAUCAGAUUCAUUGCAUGCCUGUUCAAGCAGCUUGGCUGGCAGAGCAGAGAGAGAGGAGGCAUGAUGGUUUGUAAUGACUUGCCACAUGACCUAUCGCCUUGCAGUGCUAGAAAAGGAAGUAAAGCUGAGAAUUCCUGGCCCCCAGAUCUUGAUUUAAACUUCUCUAUCUUCAGCUUCAUCAAGAAAGAGAUUCCAGCACAAAUGAAGAAGUCCUUCUUUCUCAGUCUCCAUAAUUGAAAUUGAAGCAGCUACAAAUUACAUCUUUCCUCUGGUGGGAGCCACCCAUGUGGGUCCCUCUAAGAAAAAUUCUCAGCAGACAGAAGAUUGAUAAUAGAAUGUACAAACAGGAGCCAAUGGACCUCAGAAAGAAUAAAGAUGGGAGUAACAUGUCUUCUAAUCCUUAG